Triticum aestivum (bread wheat) is the source of this 827-nucleotide long non-coding RNA. RefSeq lists it as uncharacterized. NCBI's taxonomy places the organism in Eukaryota, Viridiplantae, Streptophyta, Magnoliopsida, Poales, Poaceae. The transcript is spliced from 3 exons. The record is from RefSeq and is a predicted model, not a curated record.
GCUAGGCGCUAACCUAAUCCCUAACCCUAAAGAAAGGCGGACCUAAUCCCCAAUCAAACCGGCACGCGAGCACGCUGCGGCGCCGCCGCACAUCACCUUCCGGCCACCGCGGCGCCGUCCUCUGGUGCCCUAUACUCCUCCUCCGACGCCGCCGAAGUCCUCCACGGCAACAACUGUACUCCUAUCUGUCGUCACCGACUCCCUCCGCCGCCACCGACACGCUGCACUGUUGUACGAUCCUGAAGCAAGCCCGCAAGGAGGAUCUUGAUUUCAGAAGAGGUAUGGAGGACUCCUCGAGUUGAAGAUCAACUCCAGCUACUUGUCAUCGACUACAAGCUAUGGCCCUUCCCUAGUUUUAUCGAUAUCAUUCAAGAGAGCUUACGCACCCCGGUACCCUUAUCCUGAGCGUCCAUGCUCCUAGGGAUCUGAGUCAGCCCGGUCCGUAAAAUGCCACUGCCCGUUACUUUCCCAGGGGAUUACAGGGUCAGGCACUGUUCAAACUCAGGGCAUUGUUCCCUCUGACCGCUGCGGCGCUGCGCACACCAGAUAAGACCAAAUGCAUGUGCACGUUUUCACAUCUUCCCGGCGUACUCACAUGGGAUCUACAUGUACUGUUUCAAACUGCACAUAUCCACGGCACAAAUCGUCUUUGACUUGCAAUUUGUAUGUGUGCCUGCAAGUUAAGCUUAAUACUACUUGGGACGUCUUGUCCCAUGGCAGUUCAUAUACAAUUUUUUGUGGAGUACUUUUAUAACCGUGGUAAUUAUGUGUGUUUCACCAUUGGAUUAGGCACUGAGGACAGUACUUUAGAUCACCCCGGUCCUUGA